UACGUAGGGUGCAAGCGUUAAUCGGAAUUACUGGGCGUAAAGCGUGCGCAGGCGGUGAUGUAAGACGGGUGUGAAAUCCCCGGGCUUAACCUGGGAACUGCAUUUGUGACUGCAUCGCUGGAGUGCGGCAGAGGGGGAUGGAAUUCCGCGUGUAGCAGUGAAAUGUGUAGAUAUGCGGAGGAACACCGAUGGCGAAGGCAAUCCCCUGGGCCUGCACUGACGCUCAUGCACGAAAGCGUGGGGAGCAAACAGG
RNAcentral lists this ribosomal RNA (253 nucleotides) under uncultured bacterium. Its description in RNAcentral is "partial 16S ribosomal RNA". It matches the Rfam family "Bacterial small subunit ribosomal RNA", at positions 524 to 776 of the family's 1533-position model. The record is from RNAcentral.